RNAcentral lists this ribosomal RNA (497 nucleotides) under uncultured bacterium. Its description in RNAcentral is "partial 16S ribosomal RNA". It matches the Rfam family "Bacterial small subunit ribosomal RNA", at positions 28 to 506 of the family's 1533-position model. The record is from RNAcentral.
GAUGAACGCUGGCGGCGUGCCUAAUACAUGCAAGUCGAACGAACAGCCGCGGAACUUUCUCCUCUUCCGUUUUCGGCGCAAACGUGUGUGACACGUGUAUACCCUCUCUCUUUGACUGGGAUACCUUCGUGAAACCGGACUUCUUACCCCAUAAUCUAUUUAACCUCAUCGUUCAGUAGUGAAAGACGGUUUUGCUGUCACUUAUGCUUUGAUUCGCGCCGGAUUAGCUAGUUGGUAAGGUAACUGCUUACCAAGGCAACGAUGAGUAGCCGACCUGAGAGGAUGAUCGGCCACACUGGAACUGAGACACGGCCCAGACUCCUACGGGAGGCAGCAGUAGGGAAUCUUCCGCAAUGGGCGAAAGUCUGACGGAGCAACGCCGCGUGAGUGAUGACGGUCUUCGGAUUGUAAAGCUCUGUUAAUAGGGAAGAAGAAAUUUGUAAGGAACAAUGAAAGGGAUGACGGGAACUAAAAAAGAAAGCACGGGUAAACAAGGU